Molecule: ribosomal RNA, 809 nt
Filed under: Lecidea diducens
Lineage: Eukaryota; Fungi; Ascomycota; Lecanoromycetes; Lecideales; Lecideaceae
Description: SSU rRNA
Rfam family: Bacterial small subunit ribosomal RNA
Source: RNAcentral
GGAAAUGUCAUAGCCUAACGGCUGAACCAGCAACUUGGAGGAAUGAACGGCAAUUAGCUGGUUGCACUAACAAUAACAAUAACUUAGUGCAAAAUCGACUCUGUCGAAUAAAAUUCUAGGUAGAAGUAUGAUAAUGACAUUAUCUAUCUAUGUGUCUUGACCAAAUUACGUGCCAGCAGUCGCGGUAAUACGUAAAAGACUAGUGUUAUUCAUCUUUAAUAGGUUUAAAGGGUACUUAGACGGUAUAUCAAGCCCAAAAAGGGAACUAAUAUACUAGAGUUUGAUGUAAGGAAGUAUAAAAGUACUGUUGGUGUAGAGAUAAAAUUCUAUCAUACCAAACAUGGCACAGGUUUAGGCGAAAGCAUCUUCUUAUGUAAUAACUGACGUUGAAGGACGAAGGCUUUGUGUCUCGAACAGGAUUAGAUACCCCAGUAGUCUAAGCAGACAAUGAUGAAUGUCAUAGAUUAGAUUAGAUUUAAUUUAUUCUAUAAAUGAAAGUGUAAGCAUUCCACCUCAAGAGUAAUUUGGCAACAUUGGAAUUGAAAUCAUUAGACCGUUUCUGAAACCAGUAGUGAAGUAUGUUGUUUAAUUAGAUGGUCCGCAAAAAACCUUACCACAAUUUGAAUUAAUUAUAUGUUUACAAGCGCUGCACGGCUGUCUUCAGUUAAUGUCGUGAGAUUUUGGUUAGUUCCAUUAAAUUAACGUAAACCCUUACUUUAUUUUUAUAUAAAGUAGCUCACCGCUAUAUUGAAAAAAUGAUAAAAGGGACUAAGACAAGUCAUCAUGGCCUUAAUAUUGUGGGCUAAGAA